Molecule: ribosomal RNA, 975 nt
Filed under: fungal sp.
Lineage: Eukaryota; Fungi
Description: eukaryotic LSU rRNA
Rfam family: Eukaryotic large subunit ribosomal RNA (bases 447-975)
Source: RNAcentral
CGGGCCCGCCGUUUACGGCCGCCGGGGGGCAUCAGCCCCCGGGCCCGCGCCCGCCGGAGACACCACGAACUCUGUCUGAUCUAGUGAAGUCUGAGUUGAUUGUAUCGCAAUCAGUUAAAACUUUCAACAAUGGAUCUCUUGGUUCCGGCAUCGAUGAAGAACGCAGCGAAAUGCGAUAACUAGUGUGAAUUGCAGAAUUCCGUGAAUCAUCGAGUCUUUGAACGCACAUUGCGCCCCCUGGUAUUCCGGGGGGCAUGCCUGUCCGAGCGUCAUUGCUGCCCAUCAAGCACGGCUUGUGUGUUGGGUCGUCGUCCCCUCUUCGGGGGGGACGGGCCCCAAAGGCAGCGGCGGCACCGCGUCCGAUCCUCGAGCGUAUGGGGCUUUGUCACCCGCUCUGUAGGCCCGGCCGGCGCUUGCCGAACGCAAAACAACCAUUUUUUCCAGGUUGACCUCGGAUCAGGUAGGGAUACCCGCUGAACUUAAGCAUAUCAAUAAGCGGAGGAAAAGAAACCAACCGGGAUUGCCUCAGUAACGGCGAGUGAAGCGGCAAGAGCUCAAAUUUGAAAGCUGGCUCCUUCGGGGUCCGCAUUGUAAUUUGCAGAGGAUGCUUCGGGUGCGGCCCCUGUCUAAGUGCCCUGGAACGGGCCGUCAGAGAGGGUGAGAAUCCCGUCUGGGAUGGGGUGUCCGCGCCCGUGUGAAGCUCCUUCGACGAGUCGAGUUGUUUGGGAAUGCAGCUCUAAAUGGGUGGUAAAUUUCAUCUAAAGCUAAAUACUGGCCGGAGACCGAUAGCGCACAAGUAGAGUGAUCGAAAGAUGAAAAGCACUUUGAAAAGAGAGUUAAAAAGCACGUGAAAUUGUUGAAAGGGAAGCGCUUGCGACCAGACUCGCCUCCAGGGUUCAGCCGGCAUUCGUGCCGGUGUACUUCCCUGGGGGCGGGCCAGCGUCGGUUUGGGCGGCCGGUCAAAGGCUCCCGGAA